This 219-nucleotide long non-coding RNA is filed under the name Elaeis guineensis (African oil palm). Its description in RNAcentral is "long non-coding RNA (EGUI_LNC005396)". The record is from RNAcentral. Lineage: Eukaryota; Viridiplantae; Streptophyta; Magnoliopsida; Arecales; Arecaceae.
UGACGGCAGCCGACGUACGUCAGUACGCCGUUCGGAAGAGGCCGACGCAAGGGGCCGGGCCGUCAUGGCCUCCCAAGAGGCCCCACGUAGCUCCGCCGAGCGAACCGACUGGGUCGGGGGCGGAGCCCGUCAUCGCACUGUCGGCACCGACAGUGCUCGUCGAAGUCCCGUCCGAGGGAUCGUCGGGCGAGGGCGCUGCCUCGCCCGAAAGAAGGGCGG